Molecule: unclassified non-coding RNA, 220 nt
Filed under: uncultured fungus
Lineage: Eukaryota; Fungi
Description: sequence contains ITS2
Source: RNAcentral
GUAUUUAUUUUUGGUUGUUUUGCAUUCGCGAGGUAAUCAAGAGAUUUGAGAUGUCUCGUCCUCUGGGCGAGUAUCUUUAAUGUUAUAGCCUCUUUUGUGGUAAAACAACUCUGCAGAACAGUAUUUGAAUGGAACCUUGGUUUCUUUAAUGCCUAAUAUGCAGACUUACCUAUUGAAAAGGGGGUCCAUAAACUAAGGUGGUGUCUCGGCACCACUUGAA